GACGAGGGGUCCUAGCGUUGUUCGGAAUCACUGGGCGUAAAGGGUUUGUAGGUGGCCUUAUAAGUCGGAUGUGAAAUCCCACGGCUCAACCGUGGAAGUGCAUUCGAAACUGCAAGGCUUGAAUAUGGAAGAGGGCAGUAGAAUUCCUGGUGUAGUGGUGAAAUACGUAGAUAUCAGGAGGAAUACCGGUGGCGAAGGCGGCUGCCUGGUCCAAUAUUGACGCUGAGAAACGAAAGUGCGGGGAUCAAACAGG
This 253-nucleotide ribosomal RNA is filed under the name uncultured bacterium. Its description in RNAcentral is "partial 16S ribosomal RNA". It matches the Rfam family "Bacterial small subunit ribosomal RNA", at positions 524 to 776 of the family's 1533-position model. The record is from RNAcentral.